UACGUAGGGUGCGAGCGUUAAUCGGAAUUACUGGGCGUAAAGCGUGCGCAGGCGGCUUUGCAAGACAGAUGUGAAAUCCCCGGGCUCAACCUGGGAACUGCAUUUGUGACUGCAAGGCUAGAGUACGGCAGAGGGUGAUGGAAUUCCGCGUGUAGCAGUGAAAUGCGUAGAUAUGCGGAGGAACACCAAUGGCGAAGGCAAUCCCCUGGGCCUGUACUGACGCUCAUGCACGAAAGCGUGGGGAGCAAACAGG
RNAcentral lists this ribosomal RNA (253 nucleotides) under uncultured bacterium. Its description in RNAcentral is "partial 16S ribosomal RNA". It matches the Rfam family "Bacterial small subunit ribosomal RNA", at positions 524 to 776 of the family's 1533-position model. The record is from RNAcentral.